GUAAGUGUUUAAGGGCGCAUGGUGGAUGCCUUGGCACUGGGAGCCGAUGAAGGACGUAGGAGGCUGCGAUAAGCCUCGGGGAGCUGUCAACCGAGCGUUGAUCCGAGGAUGUCCGAAUGGGGAAACCCGGCACGAGUGAUGUCGUGUCACCCAACGCUGAAUGUAUAGGCGUUGGGGGGGAACGCGGGGAAGUGAAACAUCUCAGUACCCGUAGGAAGAGAAAACAAGUAAGUGAUUCCGUUAGUAGUGGCGAGCGAACGCGGAGGAUGGCUAAACCGUGUGCAUGUGAUACCCGGCAGGGGUUGUGUGUGCGGUGUUGUGGGGUUCAUCAGUCUUGGAUCUGCCGGUCUGGGCGACAGUGAGAAAAGAUCGUGUUAGUCGAAGUGGCCUGGGAUGGUCUGCCGUAGUGGGUGAGAGCCCCGUAGGCGAAAACAUGGUCUCUGUUGUGAUGAGUUCCCGAGUAGCAGCGGGCCCGUGAAAUCUGCUGUGAAUCUGCCGGGACCACCCGGUAAGCCUGAAUACUUCCCAGUGACCGAUAGCGGAUUAGUACCGUGAGGGAAUGGUGAAAAGUACCCCGGGAGGGGAGUGAAAGAGUACCUGAAACCGUGUGCCUACAAUCCGUCAGAGCCCUCGCUUUGCGUGGGGUGAUGGCGUGCCUUUUGAAGAAUGAGCCUGCGAGUCAGGGACAUGUCGCGAGGUUAACCCGGGUGGGGUAGCCGUAGCGAAAGCGAGUCUGAAUAGGGCGUAUCCAUCCCGUGGGGGGUGGUGUAGUGGUGUGUUCUGGACCCGAAGCGGAGUGAUCUACCCAUGGCCAGGGUGAAGCGCGGGUAAGACCGCGUGGAGGCCCGAACCCACUUAGGUUGAAGACUGAGGGGAUGAGUUGUGGGUAGGGGUGAAAGGCCAAUCAAACUCCGUGAUAGCUGGUUCUCCCCGAAAUGCAUUUAGGUGCAGCGUCACAUGUUUCACAUCGGAGGUAGAGCUACUGGAUGGCCGAUGGGCCCUACUAGGUUACUGACGUCAGCCAAACUCCGAAUGCCGAUGUGUGAGAGUGUGGCAGUGAGACGGCGGGGGAUAAGCUCCGUGCGUCGAGAGGGAAACAGCCCAGAUCGCCGGCUAAGGCCCCUAAGCGUGUGCUAAGUGGAAAAGGAUGUGCAGUCGCAAAGACAACCAGGAGGUUGGCUUAGAAGCAGCCACCCUUGAAAGAGUGCGUAAUAGCUCACUGGUCAAGUGAUUGUGCGCCGAUAAUGUAGCGGGGCUCAAGCACACCGCCGAAGCCGCGGCAACGCAGCAAUGCGUUGGGUAGGGGAGCGUCCUGCAUCCGGUGAAGCCACGGAGUGAUCCAGUGGUGGAGGGUGUGGGAGUGAGAAUGCAGGCAUGAGUAGCGAUAAGGCAAGUGAGAACCUUGCCCGCCGAAAGACCAAGGGUUCCUGGGGCAGGCCAGUCCGCCCAGGGUGAGUCGGGACCUAAGGCGAGGCCGACAGGCGUAGUCGAUGGACAACGGGUUGAUAUUCCCGUACCCGUGUGUGAGCGCCCAAUGACGAAUCAUCGGUACUAACCGCCCAAAAGGUGACUAACCGAGUCCUUUUAGGACAAGGGGGUCGCCGGCUGCGCGGGACCUUCGGUGGUAGUAGUCAAGCGAUGGGGUGACGCAGGAAGGUAGCCGUACCAGUCAGUGGUAAUACUGGGGCAAACCUGUAGCGCGAGAUCUAGGCAAAUCCGGAUCUCUUCAUGCGUGAGAGGUGAUGCAUAGCCGAGUGAGGCGAAUUCGGUGAUCCUCAGCUGCCGAGAAAAGCCUCUAGCGAGCACACACACGGCCCGUACCCCAAACCAACACAGGUGGUCAGGUAGAGAAUACCGAGGCGUACGAGUGAACUAUGGUUAAGGAACUCGGCAAAAUACCCCCGUAACUUCGGGAGAAGGGGGACCCCCUGCGGUCAAGGCCCACGCGGCCGGCAGCGGCGGGGGGUGGCACAAACCAGUGAGAAGCGACUGUUUACUAAAAACACAGGUCCGUGCGAAGUCGCAAGACGAUGUAUACGGACUGACGCCUGCCCGGUGCUGGAAGGUUAAGAGGACCCGUUAACCCCUCGGGGUGAAGCGGAGAAUUUAAGCCCCAGUAAACGGCGGUGGUAACUAUAACCAUCCUAAGGUAGCGAAAUUCCUUGUCGGGUAAGUUCCGACCUGCACGAAUGGCGUAACGACUUCUCAGCUGUCUCAACCAUAGACUCGGCGAAAUUGCACUACGAGUAAAGAUGCUCGUUACGCGCGGCAGGACGAAAAGACCCCGGGACCUUCACUA
RNAcentral lists this ribosomal RNA (2299 nucleotides) under wastewater metagenome. RNAcentral describes it as "bacterial LSU rRNA". It matches the Rfam family "Bacterial large subunit ribosomal RNA", at positions 1 to 2106 of the family's 2925-position model. The record is from RNAcentral.